Long non-coding RNA from Theobroma umbraticum, 507 nucleotides. RefSeq lists it as uncharacterized. The record is from RefSeq and is a predicted model, not a curated record. Lineage: Eukaryota; Viridiplantae; Streptophyta; Magnoliopsida; Malvales; Malvaceae.
UGUAAAAUGCCUUCCAUCUGUAGUUCAUUAGCACUGCAGCUGAGGUUUACCUUUCCUAACUGUUUGUCUUUUAAAAGAAAUGCUACUAAGAUCUUUUUCAGCAAGAAAGUAGUAACUCUAUCUACGGAUCGACCAUUCUAAUCUACUUUCCAGGAAUUUUCUAGCUUCGAAAAACCAUUGCCUCCGUCCUUUAUAAAAUCCAGCUCCACGGGCCGGCUUAAAGUGUUGAGUGCAGCAACACCCACAGCAACUUCCUCGUUACUUCAUCAGACCGACGCGCAGCAGAGAUUGAAUAUCACCACUCGAGAUAAAAGCAAUUUGUUAUGGGAAACGCCAUAUCAGAACCAGCAGCAGUUUGGAUUAGACAGUUUGUCUUCUUUUCAGAAGCAAAUUAACGAAGAAAAGCUUUGCAACCAAAGACACUGCAAUUAUAGAUACUGACAAGCAUCGGCUAUAUGUAUCUUCAAAUGGGUAAUCUUAUGUUGUUUCCGUUGACUUACAUUUGAA